GUUCAUAUUGUAUUGUUGUGUGUAACCUGUGUUAUGUGAGAGCGUGUGAUUAAAAGAGUGUAAUGUAUCCAGCAUCAAGGAUUAGCGCCCCUUAAGUUCAGUGUUCUUUAGUGUAAUACUAAGUUUAAAGUGUAUCAUUAUAUAAGCUAACAAGUGGCAGCAAGAGCGUUCAUCUCCCUUUAAAGAAGAGCCUGACCAAUGGGGUCUUUGGAUGCACUUGUGAGAACUGCGGACACUUCUUUAAAUUCAAAGCUAUUCAUGACUUUAAAAGUACUGUGACUUUCACGAUUAACAACAUUUCCUAUACAGUUGGCAAUGAGUUCAGCCCAGCUACAUCUCUGAAUGAAUACAUGCGUAUGACUGGAGUGUC
Biomphalaria glabrata is the source of this 370-nucleotide long non-coding RNA. RefSeq lists it as uncharacterized. The record is from RefSeq and is a predicted model, not a curated record. NCBI's taxonomy places the organism in Eukaryota, Metazoa, Mollusca, Gastropoda, Planorbidae. The transcript has 3 exons.